Cygnus olor (mute swan) is the source of this 533-nucleotide long non-coding RNA. RefSeq lists it as uncharacterized. The record is from RefSeq and is a predicted model, not a curated record. The transcript has 3 exons. NCBI's taxonomy places the organism in Eukaryota, Metazoa, Chordata, Aves, Anseriformes, Anatidae.
UUGAAAAAACAUGCUCUGAUUUCGACACUUCUGAGAGAUGCUACAACAACAGAGGAGAAGCAGCACCCAGACACUGUGCUGGUCUAGACAGGCAAAUUAGUUCUUGAGUCCUUCAAGCUCUUAAUGAAGUUAAGGGCUCUCUUGACUCACUGCUCCUUUCAGUGCUGGAAUAAAGGCCCAGUUUCCAUCAGCAUUCUCAGACAGCAAGGAUGCUUGUUGCUGUGGCAAGAGGCUGCAGCCUGGCGGUGAGGUGUGCAGGAGUUCACCCCGUGCCUGCGUACUGCACAGGGCACAUGACAAAGCAGGGGACGUGCAAACAAAGUGCAUUACGAGGAAAGAUCAGCACGGCUACUGAGGAUUCUGCUCAUUGAAGCCAUUUGCUAUCAGCAGAGUGAAGAGAUAGUCAAGCAAAUUUCCUGGGGACUUUUUCUUUAAUGAGAAGCCAUGCUGCAAACCUCCGUGCUCACGCUCAAGAAACUUCAUCCAGGAGCAGCACCAUGCAACGAAGUUUGGUUUUCUCAACAGUCACAGCU